Molecule: non-coding RNA, 2569 nt
Organism: Delphinapterus leucas (beluga whale)
Lineage: Eukaryota; Metazoa; Chordata; Mammalia; Artiodactyla; Monodontidae
Source: RefSeq, a predicted model, not a curated record
CGUUCACAUGACGCGAGCGGGCCGUGGGCAAGGACGGUGCCUCCAAAGGGACAAACUUCGUGGCGCAGCCUCCGCGUUGUGUCCAGGAUGACAUCUUUACGCGCCCGUCACCGCGAGCCGGGCGGAGGUUCUGCUGCCUGUGCAACAGGCGAGGGGACGGCGCGGAAUGCCGCCGUAAGAGGGAGGCCUGCAGUCGUCCCUCGGAGCCGGCCUCCUGGCCUGUCCCUUUGUCUCCUCCAUAAAGACCUUUGGAUUACAAUUCCACCGACUCCAAGAAGUCGGGCCAGACCCUGUUGAAGUUUUACAACAACCCGGGCGGUCCGACGGGGCCUCAUACAGGCGGUGGGGCAGAGAGAGACAAGAGAGACACAGGACCCCGGUGAAGGGUCCCCAGGCUUAUAGGGGAAAAGACUGGACACAGGGACUAGAGGACGAGAUGGAACAAUGCUAAUAGCGUCUACGAACUUAGUGAAGUGUUACUGGUCCUUACUUCAGAGUAGAGAAUGUCGUGAAGACAAGAUGACCCAUCUAGUUCUGCACAUCCUGCCAUGAAGAGCGGAGCGAGAAGCUUUUUUGUUGGCUGCCACCGUCUCUCUUGGAAUCUGAAUUUAGCUUCGGGAGCUUACCUAUUGUUACAACACUGAAUUACCCUCUUGUAAGACCUUGGACAAGUCCUCUAAUGCCUUGAUAUCUCAGAUUUUUUUCAAUUCUCCCUGAAGAUAAGAAUAGUAUCCACCUCAUAGCAGUGGUGUGGGAACUCCAUGAGACGAUGCAUGUGAAGGCCCUCACACAGUCUCUGGGGCCACCGCAGACAGUGAACAGGUGAGAGCUACUAUUGUUGCCAGGACCUCAGGAAAUGAUAGCUGAGGCAAAGUUGAACUAGACUGUCAUUCAGGGCUCUUAGUUGCAAGCAACAGAAGCUGACUUUGGCUUAUAGAGUAGGAAAGGAAAUUUUAAAAUGACACUGGGUAGCUCACGGUUACCCAAUUGUUGGGAGGGCUGGAGAGCUCAGUCUAAGCUUCCAGUGACAAAGCUCCAAGCCCACCAUGCCACCCCUGCCACUGGUCUCGUGGCAGCCCACAACAGCUUGCGGCACCAAGGCCAUUACUGUGGCAGGAACCUAACCCUAUGCCCGCUACGCCCCCGAAGCCAGACCCCCCCUGCUGCUGCCCUUGCCAGCAAAGUGGAAUUUUCCCAGAGCCUCUGAAUUGAAGUCUUGUGUGGGACAGGAGGACUCCCGGUGAUUUAUUAAGAAGGUGAAAUUAUGUGCCCAGCUGGGAACUCUGGGGAGCUCUUGCUGAAAUUGAGCGUUUUGGAGCCAGAUUUACACGGCAGAAUGGACCUGGGACUGCUCCUUUUGGCAGAAGCUGCUGGGCCACUGUGGAUGAUCUUUCCCACGUUGCACGAUGUCCCCAAAGCCCUUGGAGCCAUGCUCAGCCCCAUCCUGGUAUCCCCUGUGUCCCUCGUGCCUCUGCCAUGGAGGUCCAGCCACUUUACUUGGCUGUGGGUCUCAACAACUUGCAGGUGAAUCCAUCUAUCCCCCCUUCCAGCCUGGCUUGGCCCCCUACUCAUAAGCACUUACACAGUAUUUCACAAAGAAAAUGUCUGCUGGCUGUGUCCCAGACUCUUGAAUGUCAGCUCACAUUAGUCAUGGCCACGGAUGCGGCUGGAAUCUUGCUGACCAGGUCCCAAAGGUCUCUGCUGGUCUGCACUCCCCAUGCUUGGGUUGGAGGGCACUGCGGAGGGUUUGGAUGGUGAGUGUGGGCACCUCCCAGCUGCACCAUUUCCUGGCAUCCACCAGGCUGCCUCACGUCCACUCUAGACCCUCGGUCUCAGCAGGGGAAACCAAAAAUCUCUCCCUAGCACCACAAUCAUCUUUUGCUGGCUGCUAAGCACCCUUGCUCUGAAAACAAUAACCAACCACCAUAAAAACAGUAGGUCUGCCUUCUCUGUCUAAGCAUGUACUGUGUAGGUGCUUUAGGGAGAGCACCAGAGGCCAGGGAGGAUAAUUUGUCCAAGGACACCAGCUAAGAUGGGACAGAAUGAGGAUUAUUAUUAGUUCUAAAUAAUUCCAAUACUCAUGUUCUUUUUUAUUAUUCCCUUUCCCACUCUUUUAUAAUUAUUCUAAAGUAACACUUACUUCAUUUUCUAUUACCGAAAGAAUGUGUGCGCAAAUAGAAAACAGAAAAUGUAGAAACGUAUGAAGACAAAAGAACCACCAAGACAAAUAAACCAAACCCAGGGUCAUUAGCAGUUCCUCCUUGCCAAGAUAAAAUGUGAACAUUUUAGUUCCUCUCUUUUCCAUCUUGUUCUUUGUGUGUGUCCAUGCCUUCACACACACACACACACACACACACACACACACACACGUGUAAAAUGGGGAUUACAUUGUAUAUUCUUUUUUGUUUCCAGCUUUUUCCACUUAGCCAUAUAAUGUUAACAUUUCCCCACAUCAAUAAAGGAGCUUCAGUCCUGGGCUCAUUAACUCAUCCAAAGUAUGUUCUGCCCAACUUUGUUUUCUUCUGUGUCCAGCCAUAUGCCUCCUCUCUGGGCUGCACCCCAGGGGGAC